AAUUGUUAGUGGCAGACGGGUGAGUAAUGCGUAGGAAUCUACCUAGUAGUAUGGAAUAGCCAUUAGAAAUGAUGGGUAAUACUGUAUAAUCCCUGCGGGGGAAAGAUUUAUCGCUAUUAGAUGAGCCUACGUUAGAUUAGCUAGUUGGUAAGGUAAUGGCUUACCAAGGCUAUGAUCUAUAGCUGGCCUGAGAGGACGAUCAGCCACACUGGAACUGAGAUACGGUCCAGACUCUUACGGGAGGCAGCAGUGGGGAAUAUUGGACAAUGGGCGAAAGCUUGAUCCAGCUAUGCCGCGUGAGUGAAGAAGGCCUU
This 314-nucleotide ribosomal RNA is filed under the name Ehrlichia chaffeensis. RNAcentral describes it as "bacterial SSU rRNA". It matches the Rfam family "Bacterial small subunit ribosomal RNA", at positions 87 to 418 of the family's 1533-position model. Lineage: Bacteria; Pseudomonadati; Pseudomonadota; Alphaproteobacteria; Rickettsiales; Anaplasmataceae. The record is from RNAcentral.